ACACGUAUCCAACCUACCUUUUACUCGGGGAUAGGAUUUCGAAAGAAAGAUUAAUACCCGAUGGUAUAAUAUUUCCGCAUGGGAUUAUUAUUAAAGAAUUUCGGUAAAAGAUGGGGAUGCGUUCCAUUAGGCAGUUGGCGGGGUAACGGCCCACCAAACCUUCGAUGGAUAGGGGUUCUGAGAGGAAGGUCCCCCACAUUGGAACUGAGACACGGUCCAAACUCCUACGGGAGGCAGCAGUGAGGAAUAUUGGUCAAUGGACGAGAGUCUGAACCAGCCAAGUAGCGUGAAGGAUGACUGCCCUAUGGGUUGUAAACUUCUUUUAUACGGGAAUAAAGUGAGCCACGUGUGGCUUUUUGUAUGUACCGUAUGAAUAAGGAUCGGCUAACUCCGUGCCAGCAGCCGCGGUAAUACGGAGGAUUCGAGCGUUAUCCGGAUUUAUUGGGUUUAAAGGGAGCGUAGGCGGGUUGUUAAGUCAGUUGUGAAAGUUUGCGGCUCAACCGUAAAUUGCAGUUGAUACUGG
This 523-nucleotide ribosomal RNA is filed under the name uncultured bacterium. RNAcentral describes it as "bacterial SSU rRNA". It matches the Rfam family "Bacterial small subunit ribosomal RNA", at positions 113 to 636 of the family's 1533-position model. The record is from RNAcentral.